RNAcentral lists this small nuclear RNA (103 nucleotides) under Vulpes vulpes (red fox). Lineage: Eukaryota; Metazoa; Chordata; Mammalia; Carnivora; Canidae. The record is from RNAcentral.
GUGUUUGCUUCAGGAGCAUAUAUACUGAAAUUCAUGAUACAGAGGAUAUUAGCAUGGCCCCUGGACUAGCUGAGAUAAAAUUUGUGAAGAGUUAAAAAAAACA